RNAcentral lists this long non-coding RNA (574 nucleotides) under Capra hircus (goat). Its description in RNAcentral is "lncRNA (ENSCHIG00000002093.1)". The record is from RNAcentral. Lineage: Eukaryota; Metazoa; Chordata; Mammalia; Artiodactyla; Bovidae.
ACUCUGGGUGCAGAGGUGCAUCUGUGAACAAAGGCUUCCUUUGUGCUGACUGGAGUUUCUGGAAAAAGUUAGCUCCUCAGCAGUCUUGGAGAGGUGCUCAGUGAUUACACAGACGCAGAGUGGAUUAGAAAGGCUGAGAUCAGUGUUUGUUUAUCUUGGCCUCAUUCCAGUUUCUGUCCUUACCUUUGGGUAAAACCAUUGGUAGGCUAAUGGAUUCUUCUGAGAAAUACCCAGUGCCUUUGCUAGGCUGGUCACCAUGCUGGGUGUUGUAUACACAGCCACGAACCAGACACCGUUCCUGAUCUCAGAGAGCUCACAGAUGGUGGCGGAGACAAUGCAAGAACAGAUGAGUGACUUCACUGCUGAGAAUCCACAGCAUGGGAACUGAGUUGACAUGGAGCACAUAGAUUGUUCUAGAAUGGUUCAUGGAAAAAGAUGCCCAAAAGGCACCUUACCCUCAGAAAGAUGAUCUUGAUAAUGAGGUUUCAAGAAAGAAAUUACUUUGGGAAAAAAAGCCCAUGACAAUUAAUAUGUGCUCCAUGUGUAGCUAAACAAAAAUGUAUCGAUACAAGGU